RNAcentral lists this ribosomal RNA (269 nucleotides) under uncultured prokaryote. Its description in RNAcentral is "partial 16S ribosomal RNA". It matches the Rfam family "Bacterial small subunit ribosomal RNA", at positions 524 to 792 of the family's 1533-position model. The record is from RNAcentral.
UACGGAGGAUCCGAGCGUUAUCCGGAUUUAUUGGGUUUAAAGGGUGCGCAGGCGGGAGAUUAAGUCGGCGGUGAAAUUUUGCAGCUCAACUGUAAAAGUGCCUUCGAUACUGGUUUCCUUGAGUGUGGAUGAAGUAGGCGGAAUUUGUGGCGUAGCGGUGAAAUGCUUAGAUAUCACGAGGAACUCCGAUUGCGCAGGCAGCUUACUAAACCACUACUGACGCUCAGGCACGAAGGCGUGGGGAUCAAACAGGAUUAGAUACCCUGGUA